GUGGGGAAUAUUGGACAAUGGGCGCAAGCCUGAUCCAGCCAUGCCGCGUGAGUGAUGAAGGCCCUAGGGUUGUAAAGCUCUUUCACCGGUGAAGAUAAUGACGGUAACCGGAGAAGAAGCCCCGGCUAACUUCGUGCCAGCAGCCGCGGUAAUACGAAGGGGGCUAGCGUUGUUCGGAAUUACUGGGCGUAAAGCGCACGUAGGCGGGUAUUUAAGUCAGGGGUGAAAUCCCGGAGCUCAACUCCGGAACUGCCUUUGAUACUGGGUACCUAGAGUAUGGAAGAGGUAAGUGGAAUUCCGAGUGUAGAGGUGAAAUUCGUAGAUAUUCGGAGGAACACCAGUGGCGAAGGCGGCUUACUGGUCCAUUACUGACGCUGAGGUGCGAAAGCGUGGGGAGCAAACAGGAUUAGAUACCCCAGUAGUCC
This 425-nucleotide ribosomal RNA is filed under the name uncultured bacterium. RNAcentral describes it as "bacterial SSU rRNA". It matches the Rfam family "Bacterial small subunit ribosomal RNA", at positions 354 to 796 of the family's 1533-position model. The record is from RNAcentral.